Molecule: ribosomal RNA, 480 nt
Filed under: uncultured bacterium
Lineage: Bacteria
Description: bacterial SSU rRNA
Rfam family: Bacterial small subunit ribosomal RNA
Source: RNAcentral
GAUGAACGCUGGCGGCGUGCUUAACACAUGCAAGUCGAACGAAGCAUUUACGACAGAUUUCUUCGGAUUGAAGUUGUUUAUGACUGAGUGGCGGACGGGUGAGUAACGCGUGGGUAACCUGCCUUGUACUGGGGGAUAGCAGCUGGAAACGGCUGGUAAUACCGCAUAAGCGCACAAUGUUGCAUGACAUGGUGUGAAAAACUCCGGUGGUAUAAGAUGGACCCGCGUCUGAUUAGCUAGUUGGUGAGAUAACAGCCCACCAAGGCGACGAUCAGUAGCCGACCUGAGAGGGUGACCGGCCACAUUGGGACUGAGACACGGCCCAGACUCCUACGGGAGGCAGCAGUGGGGAAUAUUGCACAAUGGAGGAAACUCUGAUGCAGCGACGCCGCGUGAGUGAAGAAGUAAUUCGUUAUGUAAAAGCUCUAUCAGCAGGGAAGAUAAUGACGGUACCUGACUAAGAAGCACCGGCUAAAUACG